AGUCGAGGGGUAUAGUUCUUCGGAGCUAGAGACCGGCGCACGGGUGCGUAACGCGUAUGCAAUCUACCUUUUACAGAGGGAUAGCCCAGAGAAAUUUGGAUUGAUACCUCAUAGUAUUAUAGAGUGGCAUCACUUUAUAAUUAAAGUCACAACGGUAAAAGAUGAGCAUGCGUCCCAUUAGCUAGUUGGUAAGGUAACGGCUUACCAAGGCUACGAUGGGUAGGGGUCCUGAGAGGGAGAUCCCCCACACUGGUACUGAGACACGGACCAGACUCCUACGGGAGGCAGCAGUGAGGAAUAUUGGUCAAUGGGCGCAAGCCUGAACCAGCCAUGCCGCGUGCAGGAUGACGCAUCUAUGGUGUGUAAACUGCUUUUGUACGGGAAGAAACCCUUGCUCGUGAGCAAGAUUGACGGUACCGUAAGAAUAAGGAUCGGCUAACUCCGUGCCAGCAGCCGCGGUAAUACGGAGGAUCCAAGCGUUAUCCGGAAUCAUUGGGUUUAAAGGGUCCGUAGGCGGUUUUAUAAGUCAGUGGUGAAAUCCGGCAGCUCAACUGUCGAACUGCCAUUGAUACUGUAGGACUUGAAUUAUUGUGAAGUAACUAGAAUAUGUAGUGUAGCGGUGAAAUGCUUAGAUAUUACAUGGAAUACCCAUUGCGAAGGCAGGUUACUAACAAUAUAUUGACGCUGAUGGACGAAAGCGU
Molecule: ribosomal RNA, 701 nt
Filed under: uncultured bacterium
Lineage: Bacteria
Description: bacterial SSU rRNA
Rfam family: Bacterial small subunit ribosomal RNA
Source: RNAcentral